RNAcentral lists this ribosomal RNA (464 nucleotides) under uncultured bacterium. RNAcentral's name for it is "bacterial SSU rRNA". It matches the Rfam family "Bacterial small subunit ribosomal RNA", at positions 330 to 792 of the family's 1533-position model. The record is from RNAcentral.
UCCAGACUCCUACGGGAGGCAGCAGUGAGGAAUAUUGGUCAAUGGGCGGGAGCCUGAACCAGCCAAGUCGCGUGAGGGAUGACGGUCCUAUGGAUUGUAAACCUCUUUUGUCAGGGAGCAAAGGGCGCCACGUGUGGCGUUUUGCGAGUACCUGAAGAAAAAGCAUCGGCUAGCUCCGUGCCAGCAGCCGCGGUAAUACGGAGGAUGCGAGCGUUAUCCGGAUUUAUUGGGUUUAAAGGGUGCGCAGGCGGAAUGUCAAGUCAGCGGUAAAAUUUCGGGGCUCAACCCCGUCGUGCCGUUGAAACUGGCGUUCUUGAGUGAGCGAGAAGUAUGCGGAAUGCGUGGUGUAGCGGUGAAAUGCAUAGAUAUCACGCAGAACUCCGAUUGCGAAGGCAGCAUACCGGCUCCACACUGACGCUGAGGCACGAAAGCGUGGGUAUCGAACAGGAUUAGAUACCCCGGUA